Trichoplusia ni (cabbage looper) is the source of this 381-nucleotide long non-coding RNA. RefSeq lists it as uncharacterized. Lineage: Eukaryota; Metazoa; Arthropoda; Insecta; Lepidoptera; Noctuidae. The record is from RefSeq and is a predicted model, not a curated record. The transcript is spliced from 2 exons.
AGCCAACCAGUUAAAAAAAAAAACUGUGGUAAUCUGUGGCAUCACAUCCAUAACCGCUUUCUAAGUUUUUGAUAAAGUUUGUUUUGUUAUAAAGACUAAGAAGUUUUUUGUUUGUUAAUUACGUUUUUAACAAUGCCACCAACCAGACGUACAAAUUUAGGCCGCAGAACUCAAAAUACGGCAAGUCAAAGAAAUCUACGAGCAAAUCAAACUGAUGAGCAACGCGAAGCGCGAAAUGAACUUCAACGGAAUCGAAAUCAACAUAUAAAUGUUGUGUUUAAUCCCCACAGAGCUGCAUUCAGUUAUAAUAGGAUAUGCGAAAUUUGUAUAGGUUUACUAUUUGUAUUAUUUUCAAAAAAUUAUAAAAUGUGAAAGUUGAAA